CUUGAGGAUGGGUUCGACUCCCUUCUCUCUAG
This 32-nucleotide transfer RNA is filed under the name Coregonus lavaretus (common whitefish). RNAcentral describes it as "partial tRNA-Gln". Lineage: Eukaryota; Metazoa; Chordata; Actinopteri; Salmoniformes; Salmonidae. The record is from RNAcentral.